This 425-nucleotide ribosomal RNA is filed under the name uncultured bacterium. Its description in RNAcentral is "partial 16S ribosomal RNA". It matches the Rfam family "Bacterial small subunit ribosomal RNA", at positions 359 to 775 of the family's 1533-position model. The record is from RNAcentral.
GAAUAUUGGACAAUGGGGGGAACCCUGAUCCAGCCAUGCCGCGUGUGUGAAGAAGGCCUUUUGGUUGUAAAGCACUUUAAGCGAGGAGGAGGCUUACCUGGUUAAUACCCGGGCUAAGUGGACGUUACUCGCAGAAUAAGCACCGGCUAACUCUGUGCCAGCAGCCGCGGUAAUACAGAGGGUGCAAGCGUUAAUCGGAUUUACUGGGAGUAAAGCGCGCGUAGGUGGCUAAUUAAGUCAAAUGUGAAAUCCCCGAGCUUAACUUGGGAAUUGCAUUCGAUACUGGUUAGCUAGAGUAUGGGAGAGGAUGGUAGAAUUCCAGGUGUAGCGGUGAAAUACGUAGAGAUCUGGAGGAAUACCGAUGGCGAAGGCAGCCAUCUGGCCUAAUACUGACACUGAGGUGCGAAAGCAUGGGGAGCAAACAG